GGACACACUAAUAUGCUGUUGGAAACUAGGGCUAUAUGGAAAGGCUGUGUGGAAGAAAACAAACACCCCAGCCAACAUAAUGGAGCUGACAGCCGACAUCUAGCUGAUUGCCAACCACUUUGGAAACUGAUCUUCAAAACCCACUUGAGCUAUAUCAAGAGAAGCCACAUGUGACACAGAUCAUUCGUAACUGAGGCACACUUGUCUUUUGCAACUAAGCUCUACUGAAUUUCAAAGCUAUAGAAAUAUCCAUCUUGACCUGGAAAGUCUGUUUCUUUGCUAGUCCAGAAGAUUUUUUUUAACAUAAACAAGAUCCUCUCAAGCACUCUUUGCUUUGGACUCCUAACUUUGUUAUCCGUGUUGAUUUUUUUACAUUCUGUGCAUGGACGACCAUAUCUUACUGAAGGAAAUGAAAUAUUUCCAGAUAAAAAAUAUACAAAUCGUGAGGAACUAUUGCUGGCUCUACUGAAUAAAAAUUUUGAUUUCCAAAGACCUUUUAAUACUGGAAAUGGUUGGAGUACAGAUGAUGAAUGAAAAAUUUAGACUACCCC
This 551-nucleotide small RNA is filed under the name Pongo abelii (Sumatran orangutan). RNAcentral describes it as "processed transcript". The record is from RNAcentral. Lineage: Eukaryota; Metazoa; Chordata; Mammalia; Primates; Hominidae.